RNAcentral lists this transfer RNA (72 nucleotides) under Heterocephalus glaber (naked mole-rat). It matches the Rfam family "tRNA". Rfam says of the family: Transfer RNA (tRNA) molecules are approximately 80 nucleotides in length. Their secondary structure includes four short double-helical elements and three loops (D, anti-codon, and T loops). Further hydrogen bonds mediate the characteristic L-shaped molecular structure. tRNAs have two regions of fundamental functional importance: the anti-codon, which is responsible for specific mRNA codon recognition, and the 3' end, to which the tRNAs corresponding amino acid is attached (by aminoacyl-tRNA synthetases). tRNAs cope with the degeneracy of the genetic code in two manners: having more than one tRNA (with a specific anti-codon) for a particular amino acid; and 'wobble' base-pairing, i.e. permitting non-standard base-pairing at the 3rd anti-codon position. The record is from Rfam by way of RNAcentral. Lineage: Eukaryota; Metazoa; Chordata; Mammalia; Rodentia; Bathyergidae.
AGGGAUUUAGCUCAAUGGCACAGCACCUGCCUGGCAAGCAUGAGGUCCUGAGUUCGAUCCCCGGUAUCCCCC